UAGCUUGGGCAGCACAUGUACUAAAAUAGAGAGAAUACAGAGAAGAUUGCUAUGGCCCCUGGCCAGGGAUUACACGCAAAUCCGUGCACCGUGAUUUUUUUAA
This 103-nucleotide small nuclear RNA is filed under the name Microcebus murinus (gray mouse lemur). The record is from RNAcentral. Lineage: Eukaryota; Metazoa; Chordata; Mammalia; Primates; Cheirogaleidae.